AUUAAGUUAUUAAGGGCGCACGGUGGAUGCCUUGGCACUAGAAGCCGAAGAAGGACGUUACUAACGACGAUAUGCUUUGGGGAGCUGUAAGUACGCUUUGAUCCAGAGAUUUCCGAAUGGGGAAACCCAGCAUGAGUUAUGUCAUGUUAUCCGCAUAUGAAUACAUAGUAUGUGAGAAGGCACACCCGGAGAACUGAAACAUCUUAGUACCCGGAGGAAGAGAAAGAAAACUCGAUUCCCUGAGUAGCGGCGAGCGAAACGGGAAGAGCCCAAACCAAUAGGCUUGCCUAUUGGGGUUGUAGGACACUCAAUACGGAGUUACAAAGGAAAUGAUUAGACGAAUGGUUUUGGAAAAGCCAACCAUAGAAGGUAAAGGUCCUGUAGUCGAAAGUUAUUUCUCUCCUGAGUGGAUCCUGAG
RNAcentral lists this ribosomal RNA (418 nucleotides) under Salmonella enterica subsp. enterica serovar Legon. Its description in RNAcentral is "bacterial LSU rRNA". It matches the Rfam family "Bacterial large subunit ribosomal RNA", at positions 1 to 412 of the family's 2925-position model. Lineage: Bacteria; Pseudomonadati; Pseudomonadota; Gammaproteobacteria; Enterobacterales; Enterobacteriaceae. The record is from RNAcentral.